RNAcentral lists this ribosomal RNA (471 nucleotides) under Triticum aestivum (bread wheat). Its description in RNAcentral is "partial small subunit ribosomal RNA". The record is from RNAcentral. Lineage: Eukaryota; Viridiplantae; Streptophyta; Magnoliopsida; Poales; Poaceae.
AUGCCCACCACGAUUGGAAAACUUACCAAACUCUUGAGUUUGAAUCUUGAAAAUAAUGAACUCCAAGCACACAACAGAGAAGAUUGGGAGUUUUUGAAUAGCUUAGGCAACUGCACGGAGCUACAAAUGUUUUCCAUGGGUUAUAAUCAUCUAUCAGGGCAUGUACCGAGUUCAUUAGGUAACCUUUCAAGUCAACUCCAGGAAUUAUACUUGACAAACAAUCAACUAUCAGGAGAUUUUCCAUCUGGCAUAGCAAACCUUCACAACCUGAUUUUUGUAGCAUUGGGACGAAAUAACUUUACAGGUGUGGUUCCUAUGUGGAUUGGAACUCUCAAAGCUAUGCAGGUUCCAAUGGAUAUCUUUAGAAUCCCAACAAUAGUUGGAAUUGAUUUAUCAUUCAAUAGCCUUGAUGGGCAACUUCCUACCGACAUUGGAAAUGCCAAACAACUCGUGAGAUUGAGAGUUUCAUAA